AAGAAACACAUCCUGAGUCCUGUGCCACGCUGUGUAGAGAGACCCUUGUGGGAGUUUCGGCUUUCCCUUUUGGCGUUUCAGAACGGAGAAGAGCCAUCUGCUGCUGGAAGAAACACAUCCUGAGUCCUGUGCCACGCUGUGUAGAGAGACCCUUGUGGGAGUUUCGGCUUUCCCUUUUGGCGUUUCAGAACGGAGAAGAGCCAUCUGCUGCUGGAAGAAACACAUCCUGAGUCCUGUGCCACGCUGUGUAGAGAGACCCUUGUGGGAGUUUCGGCUUUCCCUUUUGGCGUUUCAGAACGGAGAAGAGCCAUCUGCUGCUGGAAGAAACACAUCCUGAGUCCUGUGCCACGCUGUGUAGAGAGACCCUUGUGGGAGUUUCGGCUUUCCCUUUUGGCGUUUCAGAACGGAGAAGAGCCAUCUGCUGCUGUUUCUUUCUAGAGACCCAAGGAACAGCUACAAGGCCUUGAAAGACCAAGGAUGAAAGCACCAGACUAUACUACACUUGGCAUUUAUGAAAAGAAGAG
Long non-coding RNA from Myotis myotis, 524 nucleotides. RefSeq lists it as uncharacterized. The transcript is spliced from 5 exons. Lineage: Eukaryota; Metazoa; Chordata; Mammalia; Chiroptera; Vespertilionidae. The record is from RefSeq and is a predicted model, not a curated record.